RNAcentral lists this ribosomal RNA (579 nucleotides) under Triticum aestivum (bread wheat). RNAcentral describes it as "partial small subunit ribosomal RNA". The record is from RNAcentral. Lineage: Eukaryota; Viridiplantae; Streptophyta; Magnoliopsida; Poales; Poaceae.
AUGCUUUGUGGAUCUUCGACCCGGGACCGCACCAGAUCGUCAGCCGCAAGCAGAAUGCCUUCAUGGGUGGGCGGUCAUUGCAUGAUAACUUCAUCCUCUUCCGAGAGACUGCACACUCUCUCUACAACAACUCGUGUGCUACACAAAUUGGACCUAUCCAAAGCCUUUGAUUCAGUCUCUUCCCUGUCUUCUUUGAAGUGCUCAAGAGUUGGGAGCAUCGGUUUCAGCGACCAAUGGCGAGAUUGGCUUGCAAUCCUCUGGUCCUCAGCUAGCACUCGAGUCAUGCUCAACGGAGUGCAGGUCCACCAAUUUGGCACAGAAAGGGGCUGCACCAAGGUGACAUGCUUUCCCCAAUGCUCUUCGUCAUCGCGGUUGAUGCCCUCAGCUGUCUUCUCCACCACGCCACCACACUUGGUGUCCUGGAGCAAUUGCAAGCGCUGUCCCGUGGCCGGAGUUUCACUUUAUGCAGACAACUGGGUCAUCUUCUGCCAUCCCUCCUGUCACGCCCCUAGAUUAGGAGGUGACAAAUCAAUACCGAACAGCACCAAAUCCAUCGAUACAAGUGUUCCUGGUGUAUGA